Molecule: long non-coding RNA, 196 nt
Organism: Sapajus apella (tufted capuchin)
Lineage: Eukaryota; Metazoa; Chordata; Mammalia; Primates; Cebidae
Exons: 2
Source: RefSeq, a predicted model, not a curated record
AAGAAAUACUUAGGAAUAAAUGUAAAAAGGUGAGAAGUUUGUACCUUGAAAUCUACAAACAUUGAUCAAAAUGAUUAAAAACAUAUACAGAGAUACAACCCAUAUUGAUGGAUUAAUAUUGUUAAAUGAUUAUAUAACCCAAUGUGAUUUAAAUUCAACACAAUACGCAUAAAAAUUCCAAUCAGUUUAUGUUAAA